CUUUUGCAAAAGGGAUAGUAGUGGCAUCCUUUUUUUAGUUGGGUAAAACUUAAAAAAGAUAUAACGAAUAGCCCGGCCCGUA
This 82-nucleotide small RNA is filed under the name Mesonia phycicola. RNAcentral describes it as "Mesonia sp. MDSW-25 Flavo-1 RNA". It matches the Rfam family "Flavo-1 RNA". Lineage: Bacteria; Pseudomonadati; Bacteroidota; Flavobacteriia; Flavobacteriales; Flavobacteriaceae. The record is from Rfam by way of RNAcentral.